This 126-nucleotide ribosomal RNA is filed under the name Archaeospora sp. RNAcentral's name for it is "partial small subunit ribosomal RNA". It matches the Rfam family "Eukaryotic small subunit ribosomal RNA", at positions 1657 to 1779 of the family's 1831-position model. The record is from RNAcentral. Lineage: Eukaryota; Fungi; Glomeromycota; Glomeromycetes; Archaeosporales; Archaeosporaceae.
CCUUUGUACACACCGCCCGUCGCUACUACCGAUUGAAUGGCUUAGUGAGACCCUCGGAUUGUAAAUCGUGUCGUUGGCAACAACAUACGGUUCGCGAGAAGUUGGUCAAACUUGGUCAUUUAGAGG